RNAcentral lists this ribosomal RNA (162 nucleotides) under uncultured beta proteobacterium WSS23. RNAcentral describes it as "partial 16S ribosomal RNA". It matches the Rfam family "Bacterial small subunit ribosomal RNA", at positions 249 to 410 of the family's 1533-position model. The record is from RNAcentral. Lineage: Bacteria; Pseudomonadati; Pseudomonadota; Betaproteobacteria.
UUGGUGAGGUAAAGGCUUACCAAGGCGACGAUCAGUAGCUGGUCUGAGAGGACGACCAGCCACACUGGGACUGAGACACGGUCCAGACUCCUACGGGAGGCAGCAGUGGGGAAUUUUGGACAAUGGGGGMAACCCUGAUCCACCCAUGCCGCGUGAGAGAAG